GGAGGGAGUUUUGACAGACCAUGAAGCUUCGACUGAUACUACCCUGGCUGGGAGAAACAGGAGAGUCUAUUACUCCUAUCCAUGUGUCUUCCACAGACACCACAGGGAGUGCGUGUUACCCCUGGGCAGUGAUUAAAAUCUUCACUCUCACAUAGAUCUCUUCUGAUAGCACUCAACCAGAUGGGAGAGGAACACUCUUGCUGUUGGAUGUGCAUAGGUUCAUACUUUUCCUAUGGUGUCUGGAUGAAGUAGAGUGGUUACUGUCUAAAAUUCUUCUGUCUGGUCCUUGCCAUUUGACUGAGGAGAAGGCUUUCUUUGGGUUUAGAAAAAAAUCUGAUUUUCUGGCUUAUUCAACUCCGAUUCUGAAAUAUACGAGGCAAAAGAAAAACCUAAAAACUCACCAUCAUGUCUUUCCCUUUACUGGGACUUAAUGAAAAGGUGAGUUGCUUCCUUAAUGGUCAGGGCAUGAAAAAGAAAUGUAUGGUUUAAUGAAGAUUAUAGGAACCACAGAUCUGCUUAUUGCUCAAUCUUCAGGUUUACUUUCCAGAUGAUAGACUCAACUAAUUCCUCAAUUUGGCCACAGUGGUCUUUUCCAGCAGAUUUGUGGUCAAAGCACUACAUAUUUUUUUCUAGAAUCUGUAAGCUACCCUGUGAAUAGUCCUGUUUGCAUGGGAUGAGCAAUGCACAAGUAUCGGGGGGUGGUGCCAACUGCUCUAAAGACCCUCGAAACCCUUGUUUUGUCCCUAUAUCUGAUAAUUUUUUUGAACUUUCCUAUUCUCAUAUUUACACACCCAGAAGGAUUUCCCACAUCUCUUUCCCCUUUAAUCAUUCAUUUUUAUAUUCAACAAAGCUGAAUAGAAUAUUUACUACACGGGAGGCAUAUAACAACCAGAAAAACACCAGUAAACAAGACACAGAAAGUUCACAUUCUGAGUCUAGUGUAAUUGUUUCAGAGAGCUUUUAGAAUGCAGUGCUGCCCUUUCUUUCCUAUAGGAGGUAUUGAGAACAAGCAGGUGAAGUUUUUUUUUUUUUUUUUUUUUUGAGACAGAGUCUCACUGUGUCGCCCAGGUUGGAGUGCAAUGGCGUGAUCUCGGCUUCACUGUAAUCUCCACCACUCGGGUUCAAGUGAUUCUCCUGCCUCAGCAUCCUGAGUAGCUGGGAUUACAGGCAUGCUCCACCAUGCCUGGCUAAUUUUUGUGUUUUUUUGUAGAGACGAGGUUUCAUCAUGUUGGCCAGGCUGGUCUUGAACUCCUGACUUCAAGUGAUACGCCCGCCUAGGCUUCCCAAAGUGCUGGGAUUACAGGCAUGAGCCACCACGCCCGGCCUGAACAAUUUUUUUUCUUAACGCUCAUUUGAUGAAAUAUUGCAAUAAUACCAUCACAUAUACUUGGUCUCAUUUGUGCCUUGAAUCUCUUCCUUUUCACCUUUUCACCUUUUCACCUUAGAAAUCAAAGCACACAUUAAAACUAACAGAUAGGAGUACAAAAAAAAGAAAAAAAAAA
RNAcentral lists this long non-coding RNA (1502 nucleotides) under Macaca fascicularis (crab-eating macaque). RNAcentral's name for it is "lncRNA (ENSMFAG00000058308.1)". The record is from RNAcentral. Lineage: Eukaryota; Metazoa; Chordata; Mammalia; Primates; Cercopithecidae.